This 529-nucleotide ribosomal RNA is filed under the name Bifidobacterium adolescentis. RNAcentral describes it as "partial 16S ribosomal RNA". It matches the Rfam family "Bacterial small subunit ribosomal RNA", at positions 163 to 703 of the family's 1533-position model. The record is from RNAcentral. Lineage: Bacteria; Bacillati; Actinomycetota; Actinomycetes; Bifidobacteriales; Bifidobacteriaceae.
GUAAUGCCGGAUGCUCCAGUUGACCGCAUGGUCCUCUGGGAAAGAUUCAUCGGUAUGGGAUGGGGUCGCGUCCUAUCAGCUUGAUGGCGGGGUAACGGCCCACCAUGGCUUCGACGGGUAGCCGGCCUGAGAGGGCGACCGGCCACAUUGGGACUGAGAUACGGCCCAGACUCCUACGGGAGGCAGCAGUGGGGAAUAUUGCACAAUGGGCGCAAGCCUGAUGCAGCGACGCCGCGUGCGGGAUGACGGCCUUCGGGUUGUAAACCGCUUUUGACUGGGAGCAAGCCCUUCGGGGUGAGUGUACCUUUCGAAUAAGCACCGGCUAACUACGUGCCAGCAGCCGCGGUAAUACGUAGGGUGCAAGCGUUAUCCGGAAUUAUUGGGCGUAAAGGGCUCGUAGGCGGUUCGUCGCGUCCGGUGUGAAAGUCCAUCGCUUAACGGUGGAUCCGCGCCGGGUACGGGCGGGCUUGAGUGCGGUAGGGGAGACUGGAAUUCCCGGUGUAACGGUGGAAUGUGUAGAUAUCGGGAA